Molecule: ribosomal RNA, 253 nt
Filed under: uncultured bacterium
Lineage: Bacteria
Description: partial 16S ribosomal RNA
Rfam family: Bacterial small subunit ribosomal RNA
Source: RNAcentral
UACGGAGGGUGCAAGCGUUAUCCGGAUUCACUGGGUUUAAAGGGUGCGUAGGUGGGCUAGUAAGUCCGUGGUGAAAUCUCCAAGCUUAACUUGGAAACUGCCGUGGAUACUAUUAGUCUUGAAUAUUGUGGAGGUAAGCGGAAUAUGUCAUGUAGCGGUGAAAUGCUUAGAUAUGACAUAGAACACCGAUAGCGAAGGCAGCUUGCUACACAAUCAUUGACACUGAGGCACGAAAGCGUGGGGACCAAACAGG